GACGAACGCUGGCGGCGUGCUUAACACAUGCAAGUCGAGCGAUUCUCUUCGGAGAAGAGCGGCGGACGGGUGAGUAACGCGUGGGUAACCUGCCCUGUACACACGGAUAACAUACCGAAAGGUAUGCUAAUACGGGAUAAUAUGCUUUAGUCGCAUGGCUGAAGUAUCAAAGCUCCGGCGGUACAGGAUGGACCCGCGUCUGAUUAGCUAGUUGGUAAGGUAAUGGCUUACCAAGGCGACGAUCAGUAGCCGACCUGAGAGGGUGAUCGGCCACAUUGGAACUGAGACACGGUCCAAACUCCUACGGGAGGCAGCAGUGGGGAAUAUUGCACAAUGGGCGAAAGCCUGAUGCAGCAACGCCGCGUGAGCGAUGAAGGCCUUCGGGUCGUAAAGCUCUGUCCUCAAGGAAGGUAAUGACGGUACUUGAGGAGGAAGCCCCGGCUAACUACGUGCCAGCAGCCGCAGUAA
This 468-nucleotide ribosomal RNA is filed under the name uncultured bacterium. Its description in RNAcentral is "partial 16S ribosomal RNA". It matches the Rfam family "Bacterial small subunit ribosomal RNA", at positions 28 to 523 of the family's 1533-position model. The record is from RNAcentral.